GAAUAAAAAAUCCUCCGAGCGAUUUUAAAGACUAGACCCACAAGUCAAAUCACUCUAUCGCUCAUUGAUCCAAAAACUUGAUCAACGGAACA
Molecule: ribosomal RNA, 92 nt
Filed under: Bos taurus (domestic cattle)
Lineage: Eukaryota; Metazoa; Chordata; Mammalia; Artiodactyla; Bovidae
Description: partial 16S ribosomal RNA
Source: RNAcentral